ACGGGACCUUGUUGCUGAGAAGCUGAUCAAACUUGGUCAUUUAGAGGAAGUAAAAGUCGUAACAAGGUUUCCGUAGGUGAACCUGCGGAAGGAUCAUUAUUGAUUGCGAAUCGUUGUCUUCAGUGCUGGCCAGCUCUGGCAAGUGCACGUUGGCGGCUUUUCAUCCAAUACCCCUGUGAACCUUUGGCCUCUUGCUAGCUUUGGCUGGCAGAGGAUUUUUACACCCACUCGAAUGUAAUGAAAUUAUUGUUGUGCGCAAGCACUACUGUACAACUUUCAACAACGGAUCUCUUGGCUCUCGCAUCGAUGAAGAACGCAGCGAAAUGCGAUAAGUAAUGUGAAUUGCAGAAUUCAGUGAAUCAUCGAAUCUUUGAACGCACCUUGCACCCUUUGGCAUUCCGAAGGGUAUGCUCGUUUGAGUGUCAUUGUACUCUCACACUUCUGAUCCUUUUGGAUUGGGAGCGGUGGACUUGGGUGUUGCUGCUUUACUGCGGCUCACCUCAAAUGCAUUAGUGCAACUCUUGGUUGGACAUAGUACGGCGUGAUAAGUAUCUUCGCCGGCACCUCGCAAGAGGGUGGCUGAUCAGGAGCUCUGUGCUCUCCAACUGUCUUCGGACAACAACUGACAACUUGACCUCAAAUCGAGUAGGACCACCCGCUGAACUUAAGCAUAUCAAUAAGCGGAGGAAAAGAAACUAACAAGGAUUCCCCUAGUAACGGCGAGUGAAGAGGGAAGAGCUCAAAUUUUGAAUCUGGCGUCUCUGGCGUCCGAAUUGUAAUCUAGAGAAGUGUUUUCCGUGGCGGACCGUGCAUAAGUCUCCUGGAAUGGAGCGUCAUAGAGGGUGAGAAUCCCGUAUAUGGCAUGGACUCCCGUUGCUCUGUGAUACACUCUCGACGAGUCGAGUUG
This 907-nucleotide ribosomal RNA is filed under the name uncultured Sebacinaceae. RNAcentral's name for it is "eukaryotic LSU rRNA". The stretch from base 632 to 907 matches the Rfam family "Eukaryotic large subunit ribosomal RNA", at positions 1 to 272 of the family's 3401-position model. Lineage: Eukaryota; Fungi; Basidiomycota; Agaricomycetes; Sebacinales; Sebacinaceae. The record is from RNAcentral.